UGAGGAAUAUUGGUCAAUGGGCGUGAGCCUGAACCAGCCAAGCCGCGUGAGGGAAGAAGGUACGAAGUAUCGUAAACCUCUUUUGUCAGGGAACAAGAACCGCUCCGCGGAGCGGUCUGAGUGUACCUGAAGAAAAAGCAUCGGCUAACUCCGUGCCAGCAGCCGCGGUAAUACGGAGGAUGCGAGCGUUAUCCGGAUUUAUUGGGUUUAAAGGGUGCGUAGGCGGUUGAUUAAGUCAGCGGUAAAAUGCCCGGGGCUCAACCCCGGCGAGCCGUUGAAACUGGUCGGCUGGAGUUGGAGAGAAGUAUGCGGAAUGCGCGGUGUAGCGGUGAAAUGCAUAGAUAUCGCGCAGAACUCCGAUUGCGAAGGCAGCAUACCGGCUCCAUACUGACGCUGAGGCACGAAAGCGUGGGUAUCGAACAGGAUUAGAUACC
RNAcentral lists this ribosomal RNA (434 nucleotides) under uncultured bacterium. RNAcentral describes it as "bacterial SSU rRNA". It matches the Rfam family "Bacterial small subunit ribosomal RNA", at positions 355 to 786 of the family's 1533-position model. The record is from RNAcentral.